ACAAAUUUAGUUUCCAGACAUAAACUCAGAAAGCUACACAUACUUAUUCAUUGGAAACUCUGAAUUGUACCUUUAAUUAACAUUCGCUGUGCUGACAAUAGCCCGUACUAGAGGAUUUCAAAAGCAGACAAAUGCUUCCUGGGUCUGUCUUUGUGUUUCAUCAGAGAACACACAGACGUAUGUAUUCACAGCAAUGGAUGUGAGUAUGCUCAGCUGUGUCCGACUCUUUGCUACUCCAUGGACUGUAGCCCGCCAGGCUCCUCUGUCCAUGGAAUUCUCCAGGCAAGAAUACUGGAGUGGGUUGCUGUUUCCUCCUCCAGAGGUUCUUCCUGACACAGGGGUUGAACCUGCAUCUCCUAUAUCUCCUGCAUUGGCAGGCAGAUUAUUUACCACUGAGCCACCUGAGAAGCCCAUUUACAGCAAUGCCCACUAGUCACUGGCGACACCUUACCCUCUCCCUGGGACACCUUCCUCGGCGGGCAACAGGCUCCCCGACCUCCUCCAGGUGUUGCUCAGACGUCACCUUCUCCGUGAGGCCGGCCCCAACCCACUUCAAACUCCCAACCAGUCCCUGCGGCAGUGCCUGUCCUCGCUCCUUGCCUUAUUUCCUAUAUCUUUUAUAAUGUUAUAGACAGUACAUUGUAAACAUUCAUUUACUUAUCCACUGUUCAUUGUCCAUAUCUCACUACCAGAAUGGAAAUUCUGCUCACUUUUGUUUCACUAGCACCAGAAGAGUGUCUGACAAAUGAAAAAAGGCACUCAUUAUUUUCUGUUGAUUAAUUAAUUUCUUCAGACAUAUUAAAAAAAAAAUCCCUUUUACUUAGGAAACUUCCAUGGUCACUUGAUCAUUUCUCUAUUAAUAUAAAACCUCCAGUUUAUUCUAUUCAUUAAAUCAUUAAGUAUCUAUUUUAUCCUAAAGGAAAUCAACCCUGAAUUGAUUUGGGAAGGACUGAAUAUUCAUGGGAAGGACUGAUGCUGACGCUCCAAUAAUAUGGCCACCUGAUGCGAAGAACUGACCCACUGGAAAAGACCCUGAUGCAGGAGAAGAUCGAAGGCAGGAGAACAAUUGCUUUUUUGGCCUAUAAAACAAAAGGUGAUCUUCUUGGAGAAAGAGGCUCAAGCUUCCAGGGGCAAACAGAAGAAAAGCUGACUACUAAGAAGAGACUGCAUUUGUUAUAGGAAAUCAAUGUUUCAGUGCUACAAGGUAGCAUUGCAUUUGGGUUUUGUAACUGGCAGGAUAGGUGCCUGGGGAGAGCGCAUGGGUGGGACAAGUGAUUAGUUCACCACAUGGCAGGUCAAGGGGCCCUGAGGAACUUGGAGGGAUAAAACCAUCUAAAUCAGCAGUGUAUACGUCUGCCUUCAGCACAACAUUCAAACCAUUACAAGUGGAUGCGACUUGUCCUUUAUUAAAAAAAAAAAAAAAGAAAAAGAAA
This is a long non-coding RNA of Dama dama (fallow deer), 1433 nucleotides long. RefSeq lists it as uncharacterized. The transcript is spliced from 2 exons. The record is from RefSeq and is a predicted model, not a curated record. Lineage: Eukaryota; Metazoa; Chordata; Mammalia; Artiodactyla; Cervidae.